UCAGUAAUUCUUUGCCACUGAGCUUUAAU
This 29-nucleotide small RNA is filed under the name Bombyx mori (domestic silkworm). RNAcentral's name for it is "ovarian small RNA-25750". The record is from RNAcentral. Lineage: Eukaryota; Metazoa; Arthropoda; Insecta; Lepidoptera; Bombycidae.